This 220-nucleotide long non-coding RNA is filed under the name Ananas comosus (pineapple). Its description in RNAcentral is "long non-coding RNA (ACOM_LNC022166)". Lineage: Eukaryota; Viridiplantae; Streptophyta; Magnoliopsida; Poales; Bromeliaceae. The record is from RNAcentral.
CUUGAUUUCAAAAGCAAAGAUUGUUUAGUGGUUCAAAAACGGUAACGAAGGAUUUCUCGUAUAGGGCAAGGAAGGCUUAGGGGAAAGCUUGGAAGUCCAAGUGGUUCGCCCGAUUGCAAGUGACUACAAGCAAUCGGAAAGCAUAGUGAGGUAGGUUGUGCUUCACCGAAGUGACUAGGUCGCUUCCAUGUCAAAGUGGAGUAUGAUUUCCUUGUUGAUG